CAGUAGCCGCGGGAAUACCAGCAGCCCAAGUGGUGGUCGCGAUUAUUGGGCCUAAAGCGCUCGUAGCCGGGCCGGUAAGUCCCUUGUGAAAUCGGACGGCCUAACCGUUCGGCGUGCAAGGGAUACUGUCGGUCUUGAGGCCUGGAGACGUCCGAGGUACUCCGGGGGUAGCGGUGAAAUGUUCUGAUCCUCGGGGGACCACCGGUGGCGAAGGCGUUCGACGAGAACGGGCCUGACGGUGAGGGGCGAAGGCUAGGGGAGCAAACGGGAUUAGAUACCCGCGUAGUCCCUGUCUCUUAUU
Molecule: ribosomal RNA, 301 nt
Filed under: uncultured bacterium
Lineage: Bacteria
Description: partial 16S ribosomal RNA
Rfam family: Archaeal small subunit ribosomal RNA
Source: RNAcentral